AUGACCGCGGCCCCGCCGUCCCGCCCUGCCCGCUCUCGCCCGUCCCGCCGCCCCGCCGUCUCGCCCGCCCCACCUCCCCGCCCCGCCCNNCUCGCCCGUCCCGCCGCCCCGCNNGCCAUGGCCAUGGCCGAUGACCGCGGCCCCGCCGUCCCGCCCUGCCCGCCGCGGCGGCCAUGGACGGUCCUUGCUGCGCCGCAUCCCCCGCCGGUCCUCCUUCUCCUCCUCCCGCACGCGCGCCGCGCCCUCACCUCUCUCUCUCUCCCUUCCAUCCCUGCACCGCGCCCGCCUCCCAGCCCCGCCGCCGUCCAGGUCCAGCCCCACGCCACUGUCGUCUUCUUUGCCCAGCGGCCGCCGCCGCACCGCAUGCUCGUGUGUAGGGGCGAGAAGGGGAACCACCGCCCGCCCCCGGAGCGUGAGAGGUGA
This 423-nucleotide ribosomal RNA is filed under the name Triticum aestivum (bread wheat). Its description in RNAcentral is "partial small subunit ribosomal RNA". Lineage: Eukaryota; Viridiplantae; Streptophyta; Magnoliopsida; Poales; Poaceae. The record is from RNAcentral.